Molecule: small nuclear RNA, 105 nt
Filed under: Cavia aperea (Brazilian guinea pig)
Lineage: Eukaryota; Metazoa; Chordata; Mammalia; Rodentia; Caviidae
Source: RNAcentral
GGGUUCCCUCUUGAAGUCCUUACAAUAAAACUGGAUAGAGAGAGAAGAUGGAUAUACCCUCUGCUCAAGAAUGACACAUAAAUUCACCAAAAAUGUAAUUAUUUC